This 792-nucleotide ribosomal RNA is filed under the name uncultured Staphylococcus sp. RNAcentral describes it as "bacterial SSU rRNA". It matches the Rfam family "Bacterial small subunit ribosomal RNA", at positions 65 to 841 of the family's 1533-position model. The record is from RNAcentral. Lineage: Bacteria; Bacillati; Bacillota; Bacilli; Caryophanales; Staphylococcaceae.
AACGGAUGAGAAGCUUGCUUCUCUGAUGUUAGCGGCGGACGGGUGAGUAACACGUGGAUAACCUACCUAUAAGACUGGGAUAACUUCGGGAAACCGGAGCUAAUACCGGAUAAUAUUUUGAACCGCAUGGUUCAAAAGUGAAAGACGGUCUUGCUGUCACUUAUAGAUGGAUCCGCGCUGCAUUAGCUAGUUGGUAAGGUAACGGCUUACCAAGGCAACGAUGCAUAGCCGACCUGAGAGGGUGAUCGGCCACACUGGAACUGAGACACGGUCCAGACUCCUACGGGAGGCAGCAGUAGGGAAUCUUCCGCAAUGGGCGAAAGCCUGACGGAGCAACGCCGCGUGAGUGAUGAAGGUCUUCGGAUCGUAAAACUCUGUUAUUAGGGAAGAACAUAUGUGUAAGUAACUGUGCACAUCUUGACGGUACCUAAUCAGAAAGCCACGGCUAACUACGUGCCAGCAGCCGCGGUAAUACGUAGGUGGCAAGCGUUAUCCGGAAUUAUUGGGCGUAAAGCGCGCGUAGGCGGUUUUUUAAGUCUGAUGUGAAAGCCCACGGCUCAACCGUGGAGGGUCAUUGGAAACUGGAAAACUUGAGUGCAGAAGUAGGAAAGUGGAAUUCCAUGUGUACGGUGAAAUGCGCAGAGAUAUGGAGGAACACCAGUGGCGAAGGCGACUUUCUGGUCUGUAACUGACGCUGAUGUGCGAAAGCGUGGGGAUCAAACAGGAUUAGAUACCCUGGUAGUCCACGCCUGUAAACGAUGAGUGCUAAGUGUUAGGGGGUUUCCGCCCCUU